CCCUACGGGGCGCAGCAGGCUGAUAAGCCGCAGAGUCUCCAUGGUCACCACCUCGCUAUGGGGUCGUUGGCGAACCAGCUGUCAAUAAUGGAAACGCCGCCCCCGGCGAUCUUGUCGCAGCAAUGGGGGCGGAUGCCGGUAGCCAGAAAUUGGCCGCCUCCCCGGCCGCCGAGGCCCGGCAGCUCGUAUUUGAACAGCCCCUGCAUGACGACGGUAUCCCCCGCCAUGCCCAGCAGCUCGCUGAUGCUGGUCACCUUGCGGCCGCCGUCCCGCAUGCGGGAUUGCUGGAUGAUGAUGU
RNAcentral lists this ribosomal RNA (298 nucleotides) under uncultured prokaryote. Its description in RNAcentral is "partial 16S ribosomal RNA". The record is from RNAcentral.